This 465-nucleotide ribosomal RNA is filed under the name uncultured bacterium. RNAcentral describes it as "partial 16S ribosomal RNA". It matches the Rfam family "Bacterial small subunit ribosomal RNA", at positions 28 to 507 of the family's 1533-position model. The record is from RNAcentral.
GACGAACGCUGGCGGCGUGCUUAACACAUGCAAGUCGAACGGAAAGGCCUCUGUGGGGGUACUCGAGUGGCGAACGGUGGUGUAACACGUGAGUAUCCUGCCCUUGACGUCGGUAUAACUUUAGGUAACUGGGGCUAAUACCGGAUAGGAAUCCUGUGUGCUGGGUGGGGGUUGGAAAGCCUCGGCGGUUUUGGAUGGACUCGCGGCUUAUCAGCUUGUUGGUGGGGUAGUGGCUUACCAAGGCUUUGACGGGUAGCCGGCCUGAGAGGGCGACCGGCCACAUUGGGACUGAGAUACGCACCAGACUCCCACAGGAGGCAGCAGUGGGGAAUAUUGCACAAUGGGCGGAAGCCUGCAGCAGCAACAACGCGUGCGGGAUGACGGCCUUCGGGUUGUAAACAAAAAACAGCAGGGGCGAAGCUUGUGGUGACGGUACCUGCAGAAGAAGCACCGGCUAACUACGUG